RNAcentral lists this ribosomal RNA (464 nucleotides) under uncultured bacterium. RNAcentral's name for it is "partial 16S ribosomal RNA". It matches the Rfam family "Bacterial small subunit ribosomal RNA", at positions 28 to 507 of the family's 1533-position model. The record is from RNAcentral.
GACGAACGCUGGCGGCGUGCUUAACACAUGCAAGUCGAACGGAAAGGCCCCUUUGGGGGUACUCGAGUGGCGAACGGGUGAGUAACACGUGAGUAACCUGCCCUUGACUUCGGGAUAACUUCAGGAAACUGGGGCUAAUACCGGAUAGGAAUCCUUGCUGCAUGGUGGGGGUUGGAAAGCUUCGGCGGUUUUGGAUGGACUCGCGGCUUAUCAGCUUGUUGGUGGGGUAGUGGCUUACCAAGGCUUUGACGGGUAGCCGGCCUGAGAGGGCGACCGGCCACAUUGGGCCUGAGAUACGGCCCGGAUUCCUACGGGAGGCAGCGGUGGGAAUUAUUGCACAAUGGGCGGAGGCCUGAUGCAGCAACGCCGCGUGCGGGAGGACGGCCUUCGGGUUGUAAACGGCUUUCGGCGGGGGCGAGGCUUUUGGUAACGGUCCCUGCGGAAGAGGCACCGGCUACUACGUG